RNAcentral lists this long non-coding RNA (305 nucleotides) under Citrus sinensis (sweet orange). RNAcentral's name for it is "long non-coding RNA (CSIN_LNC003367)". Lineage: Eukaryota; Viridiplantae; Streptophyta; Magnoliopsida; Sapindales; Rutaceae. The record is from RNAcentral.
UUUGCUGCAAUUGGAUUGAGAAAAUUGAGGGGAAAGAGGGAGCUGCAGUGAACUGGAUUGAGAGUGAGGGCUGCAGUGAAGAGAAAAGUGAGGGCUGCAGGGUCACGAUUUCUUUGUUGUUUUUUAAUUCAUUUUUAGGUUUAGUUUGUAAAAUUUGGAGAACAUGUUUAACUUGUUUUCAGUUGUAUAGUUAUAAUAAUGAAUCCGGAUUUUGUGUUUUGUAAUUUGUUUUGUGAAAAAAAUCCACCAAACAUGUUUUAUGUGUGUAUUAUAAAAAUGAAAACGAAAACAUGGCUUGCAAAACG